CCCUUAGAGUUUGAUCAUGGCUCACAACGAACGCUGGCGGCAGGCUUAACACAUGCAAGUCNAGCGCGCCCUUCNGGGUGAGCGGCGGACGGGUGAGUAACGCGUGGGAAUAUGCCUCUUGGUACGGAAUAGCCUCUGGAAACGGANAGUAAUACCGUAUGUGCCCUUUGGGGGAAAGAUUUAUCNCCUAGAGAUUANCCCGCGUUGNAUUAGGUAGUUGGUGGGGUAAUGGCCUACCAAGCCGACGAUCCAUAGCUGGUUUGAGAGGAUGAUCAGCCACACUGGGACUGAGACACNGCCCAUGACUCCUACGGGAGGCANCAGUGGGGAAUCUUAGACAAUGGGGGCAACCCUGAUCUAGCCAUGCCGCGUGUGUGAUGAAGGCCUUAGGGUCNUAAAGCACUUUCUCCAGAGAUGAUAAUGACAGUAUCUGGUAAAGAAACCCCGGCUAACUCCGUGNCANCAGCCGCNGUAAUACGGAGGGGGUUAGCGUUGUUCGGAAUUACUGGGCGUAAAGCGCGCGUAGGCNGAUUAUUCAUUCAGANGUGAAAUCCCAGGGCUCAACCCUGGNAACUGCCUUUGAUACUGCUAGUCUUGAGUUCGAGAGAGGUGAGUGCANUUCCGAGUGUAUAGGUGAAAUUCGUAAAUAUUCGGAGGAACACCAGUGNCGAAAGCGGCUCACUGGCUCNA
RNAcentral lists this ribosomal RNA (690 nucleotides) under uncultured Alphaproteobacteria bacterium. RNAcentral describes it as "partial 16S ribosomal RNA". It matches the Rfam family "Bacterial small subunit ribosomal RNA", at positions 1 to 737 of the family's 1533-position model. The record is from RNAcentral. Lineage: Bacteria; Pseudomonadati; Pseudomonadota; Alphaproteobacteria.